AGCAUUCCAGUGCUUGGAUACCUGAAAAGGCAAAUGUGUUUCAGUCAAAAGAACAUACUAAAGUUGAUCUCAUCACUCAGCCUCUUGCUAAUGGAAGGCCCUGAAUUGUUCUUGUGGUUGUUACACAGUAGUCGCUAUUCAUGGGGAACAAAGAGUGGUGUGCAGUGUUACAUCAUCUGUCUUGCUGAUGCCACUGACUGAGGAUGGAGGUUCCAUAAUCACUCUGGGCAACCUGCCUAGAAGAAAAACAUCUUCAAGGAAAAGAGUCGUGAAGGACCAAAUUAGU
Myiozetetes cayanensis is the source of this 286-nucleotide long non-coding RNA. RefSeq lists it as uncharacterized. The record is from RefSeq and is a predicted model, not a curated record. NCBI's taxonomy places the organism in Eukaryota, Metazoa, Chordata, Aves, Passeriformes, Tyrannidae. The transcript is spliced from 3 exons.